UUCUGAAAACGACACAGAAAGUUUGAGAAAGAGAAAUCAUACUUCCUAGUACAUGUAUCAUUUCAAGAACUGCAAACAUUCCACAACCCAUGGAUAUGGAAUGCAAAUCAGCAGGAGACUUGGAGUCCUACACAAAAAGAAUCGUAACCACAGGAUCCAAAAUGCGUACAACAACUUUCGUGGAUUUCAUGACAGCCGUAUGCCUUCCAAGCAUACUAUUAUGCCGGUCUUCACAUUCGGCAUAUGAAGCUUGAGUGCCCGUCAAAAUGUCCUUGAUUUUUCACUGUUUCGAUCGAAUAUUCGGCGAUAACUCGAUCAAUUUCAUAGAUGGAAUCAUUUUGCUUGCAGAUUCGGAUUCCUAAGAUCGAAAUACAUGAGGAUAGCGAGAUGAACCCUUCCAAAAAAAAUCUGAUUCUUCAUCUCAGAUUUUGAGAAAAUUCCAAGGCUAUAGGCUUACUGUUUUUUUCGGCAAAAAAGUGAAGCAUUUGCCAGAAUAAUUUCGGGACGCUUUUUCUAUGUAAAAAAGCGUAUCGAACGAGAAGCCGUCAAUAAAAUUGAGCUGGCGUAAGAUUCCAUCGAGGUAUCUUUGAUUUUUCACUUUUUCGAUCGAUUAAUUGGCGAUAACUCGAUCAAUUUCAUAGAUGGAAUUAU
This 651-nucleotide unclassified non-coding RNA is filed under the name Athalia rosae (coleseed sawfly). RNAcentral's name for it is "misc RNA ENSAEAG00005008608.1". The record is from RNAcentral. Lineage: Eukaryota; Metazoa; Arthropoda; Insecta; Hymenoptera; Athaliidae.